Molecule: non-coding RNA, 2557 nt
Organism: Ictidomys tridecemlineatus (thirteen-lined ground squirrel)
Lineage: Eukaryota; Metazoa; Chordata; Mammalia; Rodentia; Sciuridae
Source: RefSeq, a predicted model, not a curated record
UGAAUGGCACCCCAUCAAGCUUUCUGUCCUGAGGAAAACAUAAUUAUUGGGUAAAAUAAUAAGGUCACUUUCAACUUUCAAAAUAUCCAUGAUUAUUUUGCAAAUCUAUAUAUUCACAGGGGAAUUUCUUUAAGCAAUCUUUACCGAAACCCUAAGUCCCUGGCCCUUCCUGGCUUGAACCCUAAGAACUCCGAUUUCUGCACUUCUGUGCUCCCUCGUGGCUCUUGCAUGAACUCCCUCUCUCCUCAUGCAGGACUGUAAUCCGUUCUCUGAAAAUAUGCUUGAAACCAAGUCCCUGGCCUGGAGAGAACAGAACGAGGAAAUGAAAUCUAAGGCUUGUGCAGAGCGCCCUCUUGAGGCUGCCUUUGUAAAUACGCCAAAGAUUGUGCUAUGAAUUCAUUGCAACAGUUCCAGGGUAGGGGGCUAAUACAAAUCAAUCCCAGAAGAUAUACUGGCUAAAUUAUGGAUGUAAGCAUCUUCUUACUAGAAAUAGAUUGUAUCUCCCAAAAUUCAACAUAAUGUAUAUCAGAAAAAAAAACCCAGUGCCUGACUAAAUGCGUCCCUUACAAUAAAACACAAACGUGGUUCCAGUUUUGACAUCCCUGUUAGUUUUAGAUAUCGUCUCUUGGUGUGAAGAGAAAAGGGCAAGCCUUCUCCAGAGACAGGUGGUAGCUGUGGGGAUGUCACACAGUGGUGGAGGGACAGCCUGCUAGGUCAGAGGACCGCGUUGCCUGUCGAUUCCGCCACCUGGAAGCUGCGUGAUCCUGAAGUUUUUCAGCCCCUCAGAGUCGCGUGCAGAAUGGGGGCGAUGAGAGAGUGACGUCAGAGGGUUGGGAAGAGGCUGAACCCUCUUUACAGGCACACACAGCCGAUGGCACGGGGUAGGGUGCAGAGGAACUCAAGUGCCUGGUGCCAUUAAUAUCACCUACACUUACAAGAUUCUUUGGGGACGGGCAGGUGGGACAUUGUUUUGUUUAAACCACUGAAUCAACUUCUUGUGUCCCUGAUUACUGUGCCCUUUCAACAUCAGGCGGAUGAUCUCUUUUCCCUAGAUUUUUCACCAUCAUUCUGGCUGUCAUCUGUCUAAUUAAAACAAUAGCAACUUCCCUCAGGUGACCUGCAUGCCGUACUUGAACAGCGAGGUCACAGUUCCUCCAAAGUACUCAUUGGCUUAGGUCUCCACCUCUGCCCACGUAUUCAAACGGAAAACCUGGCAAGGAACUGAGGGCAAGUCUUCAGGACUUGAAUGAUCUUGGAGAAACAAGAAGGAAGAAAGAGGCAGGCGGAUGGUGGCCUUUGUGUCUAAAGGAGGAGACGGUGGGUGUUGGAAACAUCCCAGGAGGCAGCCACACUGGAGAAUGGAGGAGUGUCUGGUGGAGGGAAGGCUGAGGCUCAGUGGUACAGAGCUUGCCUGGAAGAUCACUGGGAUCACAGGGAGACCUGGGUCUUGUCGGGGCACAGUGCGUGUUCUGCCCACAUUGUGACCGGGAGGACCGAGGACGCCGUGGAGAGGAGGGGGUCAGACUGCAGAGAAGUCAGCAGAAGCCACGGUGACCAAGACAUCCUUUCCCUGAGAAGGAGGACGAGCCCAGUGUGAGAGGAAAUGCUCGGUGGCUGGCUAAUGUCAGUGGCACCAGGACUCAGGCCAAGCAUCGUGGUCAGAUGCUGCUGGAGUCAAGUCAGAGAUCCAGAAGCUUCCAGCCCGUCCCUAGAGCCUCCCAGAGCAGAUGAGGCUGCCUAUGUGCUGCCCGCAGGCCCUCAGUGUUCAGCGAGAGGGAUCCUGCUCCCUCCUUGUGCUGCUUUCUGGUUCUCCUUUGGAGAUCUGAAGUGGUCAGACAGCUCCAGGCUGGGCCUGCAUGCCUGACCCUCUCCUUUUCUCUUCUGUCCAUCUGUCCUGGCUCUUACGAGGGUCUGGCCAGGUCCACCAUGGCGUCAUCUCCAGGCCACCAGCUCUGUGCUAAGGCUCAGUCUAACACAGCCUCUAGGUCACCCCCGCGAAGACUCCCUUCUCUGCCUCCACCUACAGACUGACCAGUGGACCCGCAGUCCUUUUUGCUGCCAUUCCCCUGGCUCUUCAAGACCCCCAGACGACCACUGUGCGCUCCUUUGCCUUGAAGACCACUUCCUCUAACUCAGAAAAUGGCGCAGGCCCAGCCCGUCAGGAAUCACCUCUGACUCCUUCCCCCAGGACCUCCAAAUCCUGCCCUCAGGAAGUCCUUCGGAGGCACCCUCUCUCACAUCUACCUUUGUCCUCUGGGGCAGCAACCUCGACUUGUGGGAAGAGCCUCUAGCUGGCCUCCCUACCUCCACCAUCUUUUCUCCCCAGGGCAGCAGAAGUGGCGGGAUGAAAGCCAUAAUGACCUCUCUCUCCUUUAACCCUCGCUGGGGCUGCUCCUCCCACCCACAAAUGAAUACAGACUUUGUGUCUCAGCCAGGAUGUCACCUCUGUAGGGUUUUUCCUUGGCGACACUUUUCAUUCCCACUCGCACAAUGUCACCCCAAUGAGUCUCCUUCGGCCUCUGGUUUGCUAAGGUCAUUGUACUUCUUAAACCUUCAA